ACGCUCGACACCUACGGGAGGCAGCAGUGGGGAAUAUUGCACAAUGGGGGAAACCCUGAUGCAGCGACGCCGCGUGAGCGAAGAAGUAUUUCGGUAUGUAAAGCUCUAUCAGCAGGGAAGAAACUGACGGUACCUGACUAAGAAGCACCGGCUAAAUACGUGCCAGUAGCCGCGGUAAUCUGAGCGGGCUGGCAAGGC
This 198-nucleotide ribosomal RNA is filed under the name uncultured bacterium. RNAcentral's name for it is "partial 16S ribosomal RNA". It matches the Rfam family "Bacterial small subunit ribosomal RNA", at positions 328 to 539 of the family's 1533-position model. The record is from RNAcentral.